AGUAUACAUGCAGUCGAGCGGACAGAUGGGAGCUUGCUCCCUGAUGUUAGCGGCGGACGGGUGAGUAACACGUGGGUAACCUGCCUGUAAGACUGGGAUAACUCCGGGAAACCGGGGCUAAUACCGGAUGGUUGUUUGAACCGCAUGGUUCAGACAUAAAAGGUGGCUUCGGCUACCACUUACAGAUGGACCCGCGGCGCAUUAGCUAGUUGGUGAGGUAACGGCUCACCAAGGCAACGAUGCGUAGCCGACCUGAGAGGGUGAUCGGCCACACUGGGACUGAGACACGGCCCAGACUCCUACGGGAGGCAGCAGUAGGGAAUCUUCCGCAAUGGACGAAAGUCUGACGGAGCAACGCCGCGUGAGUGAUGAAGGUUUUCGGAUCGUAAAGCUCUGUUGUUAGGGAAGAACAAGUGCCGUUCAAAUAGGGCGGCACCUUGACGGUACCUAACCAGAAAGCCACGGCUAACUACGUGCCAGCAGCCGCGGUAAUACGUAGGUGGCAAGCGUUGUCCGGAAUUAUUGGGCGUAAAGGGCUCGCAGGCGGAUUCUUAAGUCUGAUGUGAAAGCCCCCGGCUCAACCGGGGAGGGUCAUUGGAA
RNAcentral lists this ribosomal RNA (600 nucleotides) under Bacillus amyloliquefaciens. RNAcentral's name for it is "bacterial SSU rRNA". It matches the Rfam family "Bacterial small subunit ribosomal RNA", at positions 48 to 631 of the family's 1533-position model. Lineage: Bacteria; Bacillati; Bacillota; Bacilli; Caryophanales; Bacillaceae. The record is from RNAcentral.